UGAUGGAGAGAGCUAAGGAAGACAGAGUGUAGUUUAGUCAGCUGAAAGGCAAGACAAGAUAACAGAACAGGGAAUACAGAUCAUCUGGCAAAGAGAUUUGCAGAGUGUCGGGUGACCGGCAAAGAGAUCUGCAAAGUGUCAGUUGAAGACGACGGGAGGGGUCGCAGAGGAAUUAGUGACUCAAGAAUAGCAUGCAGGAAUUGGUGAUCCCUGAAUAGCUGCCCUGGGAGGAGAGCUGAGGACACAUACUCCAAAUGUUAGGUCAUAUGCAUUACCUACUAGGAGAUGCGGUAAAGAUGCCGGCUGUCGGGUUUACGGCAGUCAGAAUACUGACACUGGAAUCCCGACACUCUUCAGAAUCCCGACGUU
Molecule: long non-coding RNA, 369 nt
Organism: Pseudophryne corroboree (corroboree frog)
Lineage: Eukaryota; Metazoa; Chordata; Amphibia; Anura; Myobatrachidae
Exons: 3
Source: RefSeq, a predicted model, not a curated record